Molecule: long non-coding RNA, 6718 nt
Organism: Aquila chrysaetos chrysaetos
Lineage: Eukaryota; Metazoa; Chordata; Aves; Accipitriformes; Accipitridae
Exons: 2
Source: RefSeq, a predicted model, not a curated record
CCAGCCGGGGCGGCGGCGGGGGGGUGUCCCUUCUCCCGGCUCGCCUGGCGUGACGGCGCGGCGCGGGCUCGGACCGGCCCCCGCGCCCAGGCCCGCUGGAGAGGCGUGCGGCGUGGCGGUCGGUGCGGCCGGGAUGCCGCAUCCGCAGGGCCUCACGGCGGGCUGCGGCCCGGCGGCGUGCCCGCCUCCGCAACGGCGGGUCGGGCUCUCGGGGUCGGGCUUUCCCCAGCAGCCCCACCGCCCUGCAGCCCCGGGUGCUGCGCUGGAAGUCUAGGAAACGCUCACGGGUGGAAAUGCCGGGUAGCUUUUUAGUCCUGAAGUGCACUUCUUGAAAUCGUUCUGUUGAAUUUAGCAGUUUGUGAGGAUUCCCCGAUGGGAUUAUGCAUUAGGACCAGCAGUUAUGACUACAAAACAUUCGUUAGGUGGCGAACGCUGCUAAGCAAGGGUUAAUAUGGAAGGCCCGUAUGCUGGCAGGUUAACAUCUGUUCAAUACGUUGCACCUCACAGGCUAACGUAUGUUUUGCAUCUCUUCGGGAAGAACCUUUUGUGCACUGUGAUUUUCUUUCAUUAUGCACAGUGAAAAUAAAAGGUAUUUUAUUCUGGAAACCAGAUGCAGAAGUAGCUACUGAUGUUUUUAUUUACAUCCAGACAUUGUUGUAAGAUCAAGAGCUUUUGUCCAGUUUAAUGAAAAACAAUAAAGCGUUCAUAGUUUCCAAUGUCAUGUGUUAAACAAUCUGAUAGAUUUCACUAAAUCAAAUUCUGCUCUGUCACACCAGGGAGGUCUGGAGUAACUCCAUUAUCUUCAGGUGUAGCACAGGCCAUAAAAGUAAUUAUUUCUCUCCGUAGUUGCAAAAAUGCACUCACAGGCGGGCAUGGCUCUCAGCAGAUGACGCCCGUGUUUCGGGCACACCGCAUCGUCCUGCGUGUUGCUAAAGCUGCGUCUUGGGAACGUCAGCUCUGGACAGAGAGCUGCCUUAGCUCAGACAUCUUCCCCUCUCCGCUGCAGUGUGACAUGCUGUAUCUGGUGUGCUUCACUGCAAAUGCUGAAGGAAGCUCCCUGUCCUCCUCAGUGUUGGACUCUUGUUCUAUCUGUCUGUGCUAGGACUUAUUUUGUUCUUGAGCCCUGAGCAUUCUUGAGGAGCCAAACAAAAUGGAGAAGCUUGUUUAGAAAGACUGACUUGUUGGAAAGAUGAAAAGGCACGUAUUGCUAAAUUGUGGUGGCAGAUCUGAAGGCUGUCCACGAGUCCUUAAACAAUAAAACUAGGUAAAGAGGGAACUUCCUUAAAGUUUUUCAGCUUAUCGUAAACCAAAAUAAUGGGAUAAAGUCAAAUAGAGAAAAGUAGGAACAUUCUCUGUACAGGGAGCCAGAUCCUUUUUGUAAUUGAUCCUAGGAGAUGACUUAAAGUCUGUUGAAAAUCUAGGUUCAGUCUCUGAAAAGAAGAAAGAAAAUUACUUUUGCUGUCACUGUCCAUAGCGCACAGCUACUUCGGCAUGCGGAAUCAAAAAUCACCCCUUUUUAAAAGCCCAGCUGGUUUGCAACCUUGGAGCUAAUCUGCCCCCGUCACCUGGAGGACUUUUUCAGUGUUACUGUUUUCCCAGUGCUCCAUAUCAUCCCUGAUGAAUUUGGACUGUUUUCAUCUAACUCUGAUAUCUUCCAUUUUUUGCACUAAAUCUCAUCUUGCUUACUCAGGUAUUCUUAAGUUCUUAAAUGUAUGUUUCUGGUGUUUUGUUUUGUUUUGGCCCCCCCCCCCCCUUUUUUUUUGCUUGCUACUGUUUGCCAGUUAGCAUUGUCUUCCUAUUUAAUUAGUUCGUUGUUAAAAGAUGUAUGUCAAAUUAUCCCAGGCACCGCCCUUCCACUUAAUAUUAUUGCCACUUUCAUAACCCUACAACUUCCAAUUAAUUUUCAGACCAUGUGAAAGUCCUUAGAUCCAAGCAAAUCUGAAUUAAUUUUUCAAGUAAAAUUUUUUAAGACACCGUAUUAAAUGCUUUAAUAAGGUCCAGAUACAUCAGCUGCAUUUCUGGUUCAAACUGCUUUACCCCUGUCUUUUGUGUUCUGAGUCUUCUUAUCUGAUGUGUAUCUGCCUUGAGGUCAACUGAAACUCCACCUACUAAGUAUAUGAAAGUCAGCAUUGGGAAAGCUUCCUGUAAUUCUGGCAUGAAAACUACACGGAAUAGAUGGCAAAGUUGAGCAUAACUGAAAAAUAAUAAUAAAAAAUAAAAAUGCUAAGUGUGAAAUUAGGAUGAAAUUUACAUUGUUUGAGGAGACUAAGAAUGAGAAAAACUGGUGUGUAGUCACAGAAACUUCUUUGCUCAUAAUUACCCUGUGAACACAAUGCUAUAUAACUAGAUCCUGCACAAGCAAGGUUACCUUGUGCCAUGCAGUCCCUAGAGAACAUUAUUAAUAGAACAUGUAAGCUGUGCGGUCCCACGCCUGGUGAGAUGCUGCUUUUUUCUAUGGAAGGGUGCAACUCCUAUUUACCUCUUCAUGUGUCUAGUGGCACUUGCGGGUUCUGUCCUUACCCCUUUGCUAGCACAGGAACUCAUGUGAUGACACAGCAAGUCAGUUCAUGGAGACGAUCCAACUGAACACUUGUUUACUUUUUUAUUAGUUUUUCUGCUGGAACAACUCAGCAAAGCAGGUCGCUGCCUGGGUACAUGAGGUCUGCAGCCAGUGCAAGGAAAAAUGCUGGUGGCUGUGUGGUCAGGAGAGGAAAUGAGGCUGGGAUCACGGUGGCAGUGGUUUAUGUACACUUAUCUUACUAUGGAACAAAGCCAUUAAUGAUUUCAGCCUUUAUGUCUUAGUCCAGUGUCGUGUCGUGUGUAUAAUGGGAUAUUAUAGUCCAGAGCAAGGCUUGAAAGCCUGCUGUGACAACCUGAAGAAUAAGCUGUGUUCUUGUGUGCCCUAGCAGCCUUAUCUGGAUAGGAUAGUGUUCAGCUGUAGCUCUCCGGGGGUUUGCAUAUUCACCAGGCAGGGCAUUUGUCUGUGCAACACACGCUCCUACUGCCUGUGUGGUGGUGCUACCCUAGCUUCUUGGUCACUUGGACCAGUGGAGUGCCUGGCCUGGAGUUGAAGGUGGCUUCUUGGCUGGAUUCCUCUGGCUGCUGAAUCCAUGAUUCUUCACAAGCGGAGGAGUUGGACCAUGAGUACUGGAAGACAUCUUCAUGUUGAAUUUAAAGGCUUCCUAGGCAGGGAUUGAAGAGAGGAGAAAUUUCUUCAGAUUUUGGAAGAGUUACUGUAUUUCUGAAGAUCCAGACGUAUUCUCUCUUUUAGUCACUUUAAUUACAAUGAGCAUUUGUUCUUUGGGUUGACAGCUUGUUGAGACUGUUCUUUAGUGGGAAAGAUGUAUUCGUUAUUGAAGGAAACCCCCCCCUGAAAUGCAACUGAGACGAUUCUGAGGGCUGACUUUUGGCUGAACCGCUAUCAGAGCUUUGGAUGUUAUUCAGCAAAAGUUGCGUUAUGAAUUCUGAGCAAAAGUGGCAAACAACCCUUAUGGAAUACACAUUUUUCCACUUAAAAUAAUCAUCCUGUGGCUGGUAAGAAUUGAUUUUUAGCAUUUUAAAUAUUGGGCCUGAUUUACCCAGUGCAGUGUGCCAGUUUUAUGCUGGUGUAAGACUUGGUCUAAGAAGAGCUGUAACAGUGUAAAAUGAACUCACGGAUGAGCCAAGCCCAAAAUCUCAUAGAAGAAUCCUUCCAUUUUCCACAAGGGACAUGCUGGCAUACAUCCCUGCAGCAAUAAUGUCUUGUUUAGCUGGUUUAAUUCUUCAGAAUUUCUGUGUUGCUGUACAAUAGGUAUCUUUAAUGAAAUGUGACAUCUUGCUUUUUAUUUACAGGUGGGAAGAAAGUUCUCUCUGAUGGAUGUGCAGGACAGGAAUGGAUCGGAUGUCAGCCCAUUCAUGGAAGGAAAAUGUUCAGGGAAAAGCAAGAAGGACCAGGGACUGGGAAGAGCUUCCUUAUGAAGGAAACCCAGCAGACCAGGACUCCACAACCUAUGGAAGAGGUGGUUUAGAGGGGAUACAAUAGCGGUCUAAUUGACUCUGCCUAACAAGCCAAGCAACUCAGACACAGCAAACGGAUCUCCAGCAUUACAAGGGGACGGAGACUGCCAAAAGGGAUGCUGCCAACUUCUAAACUCUCCCCGCCAAGGGUGACUGUAACUCUAGAAGGAAAGGGAUAUCUGAUUUGUUACUUGGCAUACUCCUGCUGUAUAGUCUGUUCUGCUGGCCCACUCAUUUUCAUAAUAGGAAAGGAAGAUGAGAAGCUUGCUUCUAAUGGGUUGAUUAGAUAUUAAAUAUUUUGGAACAAAACCAACUAAUAACUGGGAUGUCUUUCUGAUGGGGGAGAGAUCUCAGGAUGUUACAUUUGGAGAGAAAACUCUCCAAUUAGCUAAAAAUGCAGUUCUAGCCGAGUCAAGAAAGAGGUUCCUUCAUCCUAAUUUGAAAUCUAAAUUACUUUAGUUGAAGAGUAUAUAGUUCCUGAGUCUUAUGAGUAAGAAUAAUUGAAAAUGGAUUAAAUUGCCAUUUUUUUGUUCACAGUUGUUUUCUCCACAAAAAUGUGGACUAAAUUUGUACUCCCACUAGUGAAUGCCAAUUUGGAAGAAUUCCACUGGAUUCAUUGCGGUUGCCCUAGUUGCACCUUCCUUAGCGAGUACAGAAUCAGGCCCUGCGUGCAUAAUUUUUCCACUUUUAGACCUGAGGGAGUAUAAUCGGGAGCCAGGCUGAGGUCCCAUGCCAGAUCAAGUCUUUCAUAUGCAGAUUAUAAAAUCAGUGAAAAACAAGCUUGGUUUGGCAGUUACUUUACAAGAGACCUUUGGAUGAUUCUAUCAACAGCAGAAGAGGCAAUUCAUUCUUCAUGCUAGAAGUCAUCAUAUAUCUCAUUUUGGGAGAUGUGAUCAAUACUGACUGUUUUUUGUGUAGAGAGAAAAAUACCAUAUUUGGGAGAAAUUUUCUUAGGGCCACUUCAGGUCUCUGGAAACACUUCUGCCCUCAAAAACGUCAUCCUGUAAUCUCAGAGAAAUAUUUUUACCCAAUGUAUUUAGAUCAAUAUUUUUGAUUUAUUUAUUUCUAUAGUCUUGUCUCUUUGACUGUCUGAGACUUCAAAUAAGAUUUCAGAAGCUCAUCAAAAGUUUCUAUAUUCUGCUAGAAGCAUGGACAUUGAGUUAUAGUUGUGGUUUGGAUUUGUAGAUGCUAAUGCAAGAAAGCACCCAAGGAAUGCAACUUCUUUCAACUCUUGCACUACUAGAGACCUCAUAACCACUAAGGAAGGGAGUUAAAACAUGAUUUUCUCUUCAGCCAUUGCCAGGAAAGCUGCCAACCAGAUAGAUGAUCCAUGGUGGAUGGUCAACAAUCAUAGUUAAAAUAUCUGUAGGUGCUGCCAUUGUCUUUCGAAAGAAUGCAUAUUCCCCAAGUGAGCACAAAUAACAGAGAUAACAAGGUGGGCAUGGAUGUCUUUUCUGAAACAAUUGAUGGAUGUCUCAAGUCUUGUUGACUUGCACAGUGUCCAUGCAAGGGCCACAGGUCAGGCUGUGGCACUGUAAAUGCUGCCAUAACAUCCACCUUCCCAGUCAGGGGGUGCAGCAGCUCCUGUCAGGUGUAAUCGGUCGCCUCUCGGAUGACAUCUGAUACUCAACAAUUUGAUGCAGAGAAAAUAUUUUUACUAAAAUAGUUAAGGAUUAUUAAAAUAGCUGUACAGACAGUUGAUAGAGUUUGCAUUAAAGGGAGAUGACCAAGUACGGCCAUGUUUCUCUCCUGCAAAAAAUACUGAAAAUGCCUGCCAUUUCAACAGCAAAAUGUUUGCUCUGAGAGUGAGGCAUAGUAGAGAAUCACUCCUACUAUGAGUUAUUAGAGGUGAAGGAUCAAUUAUGACUCCAUUCUGAAGAAGGAUGAGGGAGCCACCCAGGCAAGCCAUCUCCUCAGUCUGCCUGCGUCUGAAUUCAGUGAUGUCUCCACAAAGAGGCCUGUAAGUGCAGGGUAGCCCUGUAUUUCUGUCUUCCUUAUGGAUCCCUUUUCCUUCCUUCCUUACCCAGGUCUGAAGAUGGUCACAUUUUUAAGGGGUUGCAAACUGCUUCAGAAAGCAAGGGCAGGACAGCCUGAGGCUCUGGAAAUAUGCUGGUGACACCUGAAAGAAACAGUAAUCUCAACUUCACCUAUCCAUAUGUAAGAACAGCAGUACCCUUGCUUCAUCAGUAGUUGAAUAUUAAUUGCUAGAAUCAGGGCAAAUUCCCAGAAUAUAAAAGGUUUUUUCUUACUGCCCUGUACAGUUAAUUUCAUAGCUUCCAGUGUUUGAAGUGGAUGACUUGUUUCUAAUGAAUCAAGGCGAACGCUGUCAGACCUCCUAAUGAUUGUUUCUAUCUACCAUACCAUAAAAAAUGUACAUAUGUAUCCUUCUUGGUUUACUGCCAGGCAAUCAAUGUUAAAACGUUGACAUAUGGGUGUGGGAUUUUUUGCUGUCUUUAAAAUAAGAUCAAUGACAUUAAGGUUUGUCAUGUAAAUAGUAGAAAUAAAGCAAAAAAAAAAGAGCUAUUUAUGGUUUUAGGAUGACAUCUGUAAUGUGGGUGGCAGUAGAAUGAAAAGUAGAGAAUUUCAAAGCUCUUCGUAGUUGAAUGAAUUGACUGAGCAUAUAUUUUUAGUGGUUUAAAAAGUGUUAGUUACCCAAAGUUCAUGCAUACAAACAAAAUAAAUCUAUGAACUGAAGAUAAAAUAAAUCUAUGAAAUGGCUGCA